Molecule: long non-coding RNA, 320 nt
Filed under: Ictidomys tridecemlineatus (thirteen-lined ground squirrel)
Lineage: Eukaryota; Metazoa; Chordata; Mammalia; Rodentia; Sciuridae
Description: lncRNA (ENSSTOG00000034258.1)
Source: RNAcentral
AUACAACAGAAUCAAUUACUUGCAAUUUGAAAAAGGUGUCAAAGAUUGGAAAAAUUAAGCAGAAUUUGUGACCAUAAACGCUUUGUUUCGUCACAGCAUCGUCUUUACAAUGAAUUUCAGCAAGCUGAAGUUAAUAGAAAAUUAUUUAAGAUUGAGAAACCAGCCUCUACCUCAGAGCAAAGCCUGUUCAAGGAAGGGGGUGUGACCUUGUCCUUGGAAAGACCCACAGAGCACUCCUAGGCACAUCCCCACCCUGCUAAGUUGUUUAUCUACAAAUAACAGGAGAGAUCUGCUGCACCAGGUGUCCCUGACUCAGUCAG